Cervus elaphus (red deer) is the source of this 518-nucleotide non-coding RNA. The record is from the annotation of a RefSeq genome assembly. Lineage: Eukaryota; Metazoa; Chordata; Mammalia; Artiodactyla; Cervidae.
CUCAGCUGUGGGGCCACAGAAGGCAGGACACCCUGACCAUGUCCACCAUGGCCUGGUCCCCUCUGCUCCUCACCCUGGUCGCUCUCUGCACAGGAUCCUGGGCACAGGCUGUGCUGACUCAGCCGCCCUCCGUGUCUGGGUCCCCGGGCCAGAGGGUCACCAUCACAUGCUCUGGGAGCAGCAGCAACAUUGGGCGUGGAGAUGAUGUGGGCUGGUUCCAACAGAUCCCAGGAUCGGCCCCCAGAAGCCUUAUCUAUGAUACCACCAGUCGACACUCAGGGGUCCCGGACCGAUUCUCUGGCUCCAGGUCUGGGAACACAGCCACCCUGACCAUCAGUUCGCUCCAGGCUGAGGACGAGGCGGGUUACUACUGUUUAUCUGGUGACAGUAGCGGCUAUGAUGGCACAGUGCUCCAGGCCUGGGGGGAAACCACAGGUGACGCUGUGGCUUCCUGCAACCUGAGCAGGGACAUCACUGUUGCCGCUGUGCUCUAUACUGGGACCAGCAGAAGCCAGUGA